CACAUUUGUACCAUCUUCUUUUUUAUUUAUUAGACACCAUGAACCAAUUUUUGAAAAAUCGUCGUCAUAGAGACUUUUCUCGACCUUCUCUACAAAACCCACAUUAUAAAAAUGAAGAUUGAAAUACUUUUUCCNNNNNNNNNNNNNNNNNNNNNNNNNNNNNNNNNNNNNNNNUGAAACAAUCGUACCGGAAAUACUGUGCGACUUCGUCAUCUCCAUUCUUUAUGUACAUGCAAGAACAACAACAAAUUAAUUAAGACAUGAAAAGAAGGAAUAAAACCAUAUAUGCUUUGAAUCGGUUUGUUUUUAUUUAAUCUAAGUAGAGUGGUUUGAAUCAGUUUAUUUUGUUGUUUAUAUCUUGUUUUUAUUUUUUCUCUGAUUCUUUUUUCUUUAUAUUAAUUUUUUCGAUUCUCUUUCUAAUUAUCAUUUUUUUAGGCAUCUUUCUUUCUUUCUUUUUUUCUAAUUAUCAUGUUAUAUAGACCGAAGUUUUAUUUAAAAAAGUUUCUUGUUUUGAGAUAAUUUAUUUUCUUUCUUGAUCUAAUGUUUUAUACUGUAUUUCCAUAUUCUUUGUUAUGUGUUUUAUUUUUUAUUUAGAAAUUGAGAUGAAAAAAAGUUAAUUCAUUUCCUUUCUAAUAUAAAUUUUUUUUAUACGGUAAAAAGUUAAAAUAUAAAAAUCUUUUUGAGGCGAAACGAUUAAACUGAUGAAUGGCCACCAAAUAAAGUUUAAUGUGAAAGUUGGAGUUUGAAAGACAAAAAUGUCAAUACUCUCUUUUAUUUUGAUUUUUGUUUUUUUCGUCCCUGUCACUUUUUUUAAGCUCAUUCCUUGAGAGUCAUAAAAUAAACAGUAUUAUUAACAUCUACCCAGAUAUUUGUUGUGUUGAGCAUUAAAUUUUGCUGCAAAUAGAAAAAACUGAUUUGUUAUAUAAUGAAGUUGAAGAUUAUAAAGAUAUGAUAGCAAUAAAGAAUAAAGCGGAAGAAUGAAUUUCACUAACAUGAAAAGAUGCAACUGAAGCAAACUGGUUUGUAGGCAUUCUUUCCAUUCAUUCUAGGAUGAAACACAACAAAAAGUUAAUAGUGAAAAAAUGCAUAAAAAACAAAUAAGCAGUAGUGUGUGAUUUCUACCUUUUAGUUUAUAGUUGUUGAAGUAGUCUCCUAAUUAUUUAUGCAUCAUUGUAGUUACUUAUGUACAAAUUUAUGUUUGUUGAGUAUUUCUUAUACUAUGAGAUCAUUUUCUAAUAAAUUCGGUUGCCUUACAAAAAAAAAAAUAAUGAUAUGAAGGACAUAAAAAAUAAAGGAGAUAUAUGAACAUGAAAAAU
Molecule: long non-coding RNA, 1316 nt
Filed under: Trifolium pratense (red clover)
Lineage: Eukaryota; Viridiplantae; Streptophyta; Magnoliopsida; Fabales; Fabaceae
Description: long non-coding RNA (TPRA_LNC004510)
Source: RNAcentral